GUCAUAGCUCAGGGGUAAAAGCAUCUUCUUUCUGUGCAGAAGGUCACAGGUUCAAUCCCUGGUAUCUCCA
Non-coding RNA from Podarcis lilfordi (Lilford's wall lizard), 70 nucleotides. NCBI's taxonomy places the organism in Eukaryota, Metazoa, Chordata, Lepidosauria, Squamata, Lacertidae. The record is from the annotation of a GenBank genome assembly.